AUUGAACGCUGGCGGCAGGCCUAACACAUGCAAGUCGAGCGGAACGGCGGACGGGCGGGUGAGGCCUAUGAAGCUGCCUGGUAGUGGGGGAUAACGUCCGGCAACGGGCGCUAAUACAGACUACUAUCAGAUGAGCCUAGGUCGGAUUAGCUAGUUGGUGGGGUAAAGGCCUACCCAGGCGACGAUCCGUACCUGGUCUGAGAGGAUGAUCAGUCACACUGGAACUGAGACACGGUCCAGACUCCUACGGGAGGCAGCAGUGGGGAAUAUUGGACAAUGGGCGAAAGCCUGAUCCAGCCAUGCCGCGUGUGUGAAGAAGGUCUUCGGAUUGUAAAGCACUUUAAGCUGGGAGGCGUUACCAACAGAAUAAGCACCGGCUAACUCCGUGCCAGCAGCCGCGGUAAUAC
RNAcentral lists this ribosomal RNA (407 nucleotides) under uncultured bacterium. RNAcentral describes it as "partial 16S ribosomal RNA". It matches the Rfam family "Bacterial small subunit ribosomal RNA", at positions 30 to 526 of the family's 1533-position model. The record is from RNAcentral.